AUGAGGUCAUGCAUCAUAUUACAUAAUAUGAUUGUUGAGGAUGAACGAGAUUCAUAUUCUCAACGUUGGACCGAUUUUGAGCAAUCUGGGGAAAGUGGAUCUAGUGCACCACAACCAUACUCGACCGAGGUGUUACCCGCUUUUGCAAAUCAUGUGCGUGCUAGAUCAGAGUUCCGUGAUCCAAAUGUUCAUCAAGAAUUGCAAGCCGAUCUAGUGAAGCACAUAUGGACAAAGUUUGGAAUGUUCCGUGAUUGA
RNAcentral lists this long non-coding RNA (255 nucleotides) under Vicia faba (fava bean). Lineage: Eukaryota; Viridiplantae; Streptophyta; Magnoliopsida; Fabales; Fabaceae. The record is from RNAcentral.